AUGCUUAGACCACUAUAUAUAUAUAUAUAUACAUACACACACACAUACACAUACUUGCAUAUAUAUAUGUAUACAUAGUGUUUUGAAAAAUGCAAGCACUUUAAGAAUUGAAAGUGAUAUAAAAACAAUGAGUUCUUAAACAUGUCCAUUGUUUUCAUGUCUAAAAAUAAAAACACUUUUGAAAAACCAGUUGCAUUUCUGUUAUCAUUAUAUGUUCGCAACCUUUUGGUUCCUUUUCAAAAAAUUUAGCUGCUUGCUGGAAAUCAACAUUUUGUUACAUAUUGGAUUCUGAGGAUGUGUUAUGCGUCAGAGGAGGCAAAGCUGCAGGGUUGAAUUUACUAAUUAUACACCAACAUCUUCUUGGGUUUUAUUACCAAAUGGCCAUGUUCAAUUUUUGGGUUUGCACACACUCCUUAUUCUUCUUUUCCUUCCAAUCAUGUAUGCAUUAAUGGAAUAGUCUACUGGUUCACUCGAUCAGAAGAAGGCAUCGACUCCAUCCUUGUAGUUAAUAGAGAGGAAAUUUUUAGCACAAUUAGGCUUCCAAAUGAGAAAAUUCUACGUCCUUACUUGAUCAAUCUCGAAGGUUGUUUGUGUUUAGUGGUUGACAAUGGACUUGAGGAAUAUAGAUUUGAUAUAUGGGCUUUGCAAGAUAGCAAGGAGUCCCUUUGGACCAAGAAAUGGAGUGAUUAUAUGCCCUUUUGUAGCGUUGCACAUAUCAUUGACCAUAUAGCCACGCGAAAAAAUGAAAUUCUUUUAGGAACUUUUAGUCGUCUUCAUCUCUAUAACAUGGGGACCAGAACUUGGAGAAAAUUCAACUGGGAACAUGAUGGUGAAGAAGUAGCGAUUUGUCUUCCGGUGCCAUACACAGAGAGCCUCCUCCCUUGCAAUGGACGCGUUAUGGUGUUGUAGUCCUUUUGGCUUGGCUCUAUAGUAUUCCUUUUCAUUAUAGUAAAACUGUAGAUGAAGUGAUCAAUGUUUUUGCCCCAUCCUUUCUAUAUUAAAGUUUUGCCACCCCAUUUAUUUUGUA
Molecule: long non-coding RNA, 1027 nt
Organism: Vitis riparia (riverbank grape)
Lineage: Eukaryota; Viridiplantae; Streptophyta; Magnoliopsida; Vitales; Vitaceae
Exons: 2
Source: RefSeq, a predicted model, not a curated record